UCCUUUUGAUAAUUUCAGUCUCGAUCCAGGCAAUGUAGGCAGUAGUUCCAAGAAUUUUAAUCAAAAUGUUAACAUUACUUAAUUUGCCUGCUACCACAUCCACACACAGCGUUGGCUACUGUGCUUAUUUAUAGGUACACAUCACUAUGUGCUACAUGUAACAAGUACCAGUAGUCAUGUUUGGAUUCGGUCGUAAUAAUGUCUGAAGUUAUAAAAAGUCGCACAACAGGAUGGUCUCGCGAGACUACUCUUCUGUUGUACACCAUAGGCACGUGCCUCGUCAUGCUGGUGAUAUACGUGGCUUCCAGGGGUUGGAAGAGCUGGACUGCCCCGGAGGAGGUGGAUCUGGGAACCGUCCACGUGGCUCAGCUGCAUGAUAACCGCACUCGAAAAUCGCAUACGGAUUGAUUUAUAUAUAAACUGUUAAACGUACGUA
This is a long non-coding RNA of Leguminivora glycinivorella, 436 nucleotides long. RefSeq lists it as uncharacterized. The transcript has 2 exons. Lineage: Eukaryota; Metazoa; Arthropoda; Insecta; Lepidoptera; Tortricidae. The record is from RefSeq and is a predicted model, not a curated record.